UGAACGGAGAGUUUGAUCCUGGCUCAGGAUGAACGCUGGCGGCGUGCCUAACACAUGCAAGUCGAACGAUUAACCCAUUCUUCGGAAUGGUUAUAAAGUGGCGAACUGGUGAGUAACACGUAACCAACCUGCCUCGUACUUUGGGAUAACUUAAGGAAACUUCUGCUAAUACCGAAUAAUCUCUUACCCCCGCAUGAGGGUUUGAGCAAAGCGUUAUUGUAGCGGUGCGAGAUGGGGUUGCGGUCCAUUAGGUAGUUGGUGGGGUAGAGGCCUACCAAGCCGACGAUGGAUAGCCGAACUGAGAGGUUGAUCGGCCACAUUGGGACUGAGAUACGGCCCAGACUCCUACGGGAGGCAGCAGUGGGGAAUAUUGCGCAAUGGAGGCAACUCUGACGCAGCAACGCCGUGUGCAGGAUGACGGCCUUCGGGUUGUAAACUGCUUUCAGUAGGGAAGAAGUAAUUGACGGUACCUACACAAGAAGCUCCGGCUAACUACGUGCCAGCAGCCGCGGUAACACGUAGGGAGCAAGCGUUAUCCGGAUUCAUUGGGCGUAAAGCGCGCGCAGGCGGAUUUUUAAGCGGAACUUUUAACCCGAGGGCUCAACCCCCGGUCGGGUUCCGAACUGGAAAUCUUGAGUGCGGUAGGGGCAGGCGGAAUUCCAUGUGUAGCGGUGAAAUGCGCAGAUAUAUGGAAGAACACCGAUGGCGAAGGCAGC
This 716-nucleotide ribosomal RNA is filed under the name Coriobacteriia bacterium. Its description in RNAcentral is "bacterial SSU rRNA". It matches the Rfam family "Bacterial small subunit ribosomal RNA", at positions 1 to 725 of the family's 1533-position model. Lineage: Bacteria; Bacillati; Actinomycetota; Coriobacteriia. RNAcentral also lists the same sequence under 1 other name. The record is from RNAcentral.